This is a long non-coding RNA of Olea europaea var. sylvestris, 1131 nucleotides long. RefSeq lists it as uncharacterized. The transcript has 2 exons. Lineage: Eukaryota; Viridiplantae; Streptophyta; Magnoliopsida; Lamiales; Oleaceae. The record is from RefSeq and is a predicted model, not a curated record.
GGUUACAAUCGCUUACCCUUCUAAUUCGAGUAAUUCUGAUUUCACACACAAACCAUUAUUGAUAAAGAACUUGACAAGUCCUCUUACAGUCUUUCUUUAUUUUUCCGUUUUGUUCAAUUCAGUGCUUGUAAAAUUUAUUGCCAUUAAAAACGAUUUUGGUGUACCAGAUUUCACCUGAGGAGAAGAGAGAACCAAAAUUAACCUCCCCCUACCCCAUCCCACCCCCUUACCUUAUCUCUGCAACCUUAACAGCAUCACAUUCACGAAACCCAAUCUUUUAAUUUCUUCAAACCCUUGCAAUGGAUGAGGAUUUACGGUUAGUGGAACAUAGGAAGUUUGGGUUGUGGAUUUCUUAAAAUCAAUUGUGAUUAAAGCCUUAUUCGAAGCAGAAAUGAAGAACUGAGGAUCUGGGGGUGGCACUCAAAUCGUAACUUACCUAGUGCAGACCUGACUCCUGUGUCCAUUUGGCUCAUUUUUUUAAUUAGGUGACUCCACGGAGUUUGGGGUGCUUCAUAAGCAUUAGAAAGAAAAAAUAUGUGAGUUACCCAAAUGACUUCACGUACCAUCUUCUAGCAUUUUUGGGGUAAGUGGAUGUUGAUACCAUCGUUACAAGCACUUCGGGAAGUACUUGUAUUUUGUUCAAUUAUAAACAAGAAUUGUGUGGCUGACCUGUUUAACAAUUUAAGAGGUGUAUGAGCAAGCAUUUUCAGCAAGCCAUCCUUGAGCGAGAAUAUUCUCCCUCCGGUGGCGCUGAAAUUCACACUUUAAAUUAUUCUUGUUACCUUUAGUGAGUUUGCAUAUUUGCCUAAAGCUUCUCAUAUCCCUUAAAAUUAUUUGUUUUAAAAGCCCGCUAGCAAUUUCAAACCAAGAGGGUGCAAAUAUUGUUUUUAAGGAACGAGUACCCUUUACGGGUUUCAAGCCCUCCAUUUCCUGUUUUUCCUCCUCUUUUUUGUUUGCGUUUCAGCCUCCUUUUUUAAUUUUCAACAGUGCGCAACUAAAUUGGGAUGGUUAACGUAAUUUGUAAUUGCAUGCUAAUUAUUGUGUCAUUUAUGUUAGUUCAAAGAUGGGGAAAUUAAAUUUUAAGAUUCUGUUCUUUUGUUACUUCUCUACAAUAAAUGAAAUAGUUCCCUU